AACUGAUACUACCUGCGGGAACCUGCGGAAGGAUCAUUAACCUUUCAAAAAACAGGGUGCGUCGCGGCCCCCCUCCGGGGGCGGUUUGGGGUCCUCCCCUUCACGCGCGCACGACUGCAUCCUUACUUUACGAGCACCUUCUGUUCUCCCUCGGCGGGGCAACCUGCCGUUGGAACCGAAUAAACCCUUUUUUGCAUCCAGCAUUACCCGUUCCGAAACAAACAAUCGUUACAACUUUUA
Molecule: unclassified non-coding RNA, 240 nt
Filed under: soil metagenome
Description: partial contains 5.8S ribosomal RNA, internal transcribed spacer 2, and large subunit ribosomal RNA
Source: RNAcentral